AAGGAUCAUUACUGUAUGGGCUAUCCCAUCGAGAUGAUACCCUUUGUCUAUAAGUACUUGUUGUUUCCUCGGCAGGCUUGCCUGCCAAUGGGGACCAUUUUCAACCCUUUGCAAUAGCAGUAGCCUCUGAUACUAGUAAUUAUUUACAACUUUCAACAAUGGAUCUCUUGGCUCUGGCAUCGAUGAAGAACGCAGCGAAAUGCGAUAAGUAGUGUGAAUUGCAGAAUUCAGUGAAUCAUCGAAUCUUUGAACGCACAUUGCGCCCCUUGGUAUUCCAUGGGGCAUGCCUGUUCGAGCGUCAUCUACACCCUCAAGCUCUGCUUGGUGUUGGGCGUCUGUCCCGCCUCUGCGCGCGGACUCGCCCCAAAUUCAUUGGCAGCGGUCCUUGCCUCCUCUCGCGCAGCACAUUGCGCUUCUCGAGGUGCGCGGCCCGCGUCCACGAAGCAACAUUACCGUCUUUGACCUCGGAUCAGGUAGGGAUACCCGCUGAACUUAAG
RNAcentral lists this ribosomal RNA (497 nucleotides) under uncultured Pleosporales. Its description in RNAcentral is "eukaryotic LSU rRNA". The stretch from base 148 to 301 matches the Rfam family "5.8S ribosomal RNA". Lineage: Eukaryota; Fungi; Ascomycota; Dothideomycetes; Pleosporales. The record is from RNAcentral.